AGCAACCACAGGGGGAGUCCUUUAAAGGGCUGAGAGGGGAGUGUACUCCCGACCCUUUGAACCUGAAGCUGGAUCAUACCUGCGUAGGGAUGUGGAGUCGUAUGACU
Non-coding RNA from Fictibacillus phosphorivorans, 107 nucleotides. The record is from Rfam. NCBI's taxonomy places the organism in Bacteria, Bacillati, Bacillota, Bacilli, Caryophanales, Fictibacillaceae.